Molecule: microRNA, 23 nt
Filed under: Macaca mulatta (Rhesus monkey)
Lineage: Eukaryota; Metazoa; Chordata; Mammalia; Primates; Cercopithecidae
Description: mml-miR-7184-3p
Source: miRBase by way of RNAcentral
UGAGCCUUCUGCUGGACCCGUGA